GGGUUGUGAGGUUAAGCGACUAAGCGUACACGGUGGAUGCCCUGGCAGUCAGAGGCGAUGAAGGACGUGCUAAUCUGCGAAAAGCGUCGGUAAGGUGAUAUGAACCGUUAUAACCGGCGAUGUCCGAAUGGGGAAACCCAGUGCAAUUCGUUGCACUAUCGUUAACUGAAUACAUAGGUUAACGAGGCGAACCGGGGGAACUGAAACAUCUAAGUACCCCGAGGAAAAGAAAUCAACCGAGAUUCCCCCAGUAGCGGCGAGCGAACGGGGAGCAGCCCAGAGUCUGAAUCAGCUUGUGUGUUAGUGGAACGGUCUGGAAAGUCCGACGGUACAGGGUGAUAGUCCCGUACACCAAAAUGCACAGGCUGUGAACUCGAAGAGUAGGGCGGGACACGUGGUAUCCUGUCUGAAUAUGGGGGGACCAUCCUCCAAGGCUAAAUACUCCUGACUGACCGAUAGUGAACCAGUACCGUGAGGGAAAGGCGAAAAGAACCCCGGCGAGGGGAGUGAAAAAGAACCUGAAACCGUGUACGUACAAGCAGUGGGAGCACCUUCGGGUGUGACUGCGUACCUUUUGUAUAAUGGGUCAGCGACUUAUAUUCUGUAGCAAGGUUAACCGUAUAGGGGAGCCGCAGGGAAACCGAGUCUUAACUGGGCGUUAAGUUGCAGGGUAUAGACCCGAAACCCGGUGAUCUAGCCAUGGGCAGGUUGAAGGUUGGGUAACACUAACUGGAGGACCGAACCGACUAAUGUUGAAAAAUUAGCGGAUGACUUGUGGCUGGGGGUGAAAGGCCAAUCAAACCGGGAGAUAGCUGGUUCUCCCCGAAAGCUAUUUAGGUAGCGCCUCGUGAAUUCAUCUUCGGGGGUAGAGCACUGUUUCGGCUAGGGGGUCAUCCCGACUUACCAACCCGAUGCAAACUACGAAUACCGAAGAAUGUUAUCACGGGAGACACACGGCGGGUGCUAACGUCCGUCGUGAAGAGGGAAACAACCCAGACCGCCAGCUAAGGUCCCAAAGUCAUGGUUAAGUGGGAAACGAUGUGGGAAGGCACAGACAGCCAGGAUGUUGGCUUAGAAGCAGCCAUCAUUUAAAGAAAGCGUAAUAGCUCACUGGUCGAGUCGGCCUGCGCGGAAGAUGUAACGGGGCUAAACCAUGCACCGAAGCUGCGGCAGCGACGCUUAUGCGUUGUUGGGUAGGGGAGCGUUCUGUAAGCCUGCGAAGGUGGCCUGUGAGGGCUGCUGGAGGUAUCAGAAGUGCGAAUGCUGACAUAAGUAACGAUAAAGCGGGUGAAAAGCCCGCUCGCCGGAAGACCAAGGGUUCCUGUCCAACGUUAAUCGGGGCAGGGUGAGUCGACCCCUAAGGCGAGGCCGAAAGGCGUAGUCGAUGGGAAACAGGUUAAUAUUCCUGUACUUGGUGUUACUGCGAAGGGGGGACGGAGAAGGCUAUGUUAGCCGGGCGACGGUUGUCCCGGUUUAAGCAUGUAGGCGGAGGUUCCAGGUAAAUCCGGUACCUUUUAACGCUGAGGUGUGAUGACGAGGCACUACGGUGCUGAAGUAACAAAUGCCCUGCUUCCAGGAAAAGCCUCUAAGCAUCAGGUAACAUCAAAUCGUACCCCAAACCGACACAGGUGGUCAGGUAGAGAAUACCAAGGCGCUUGAGAGAACUCGGGUGAAGGAACUAGGCAAAAUGGUGCCGUAACUUCGGGAGAAGGCACGCUGGUGUGUAGGUGAAGUCCCUGCGGAUGGAGCUGAGACCAGUCGAAGAUACCAGCUGGCUGCAACUGUUUAUUAAAAACACAGCACUGUGCAAACACGAAAGUGGACGUAUACGGUGUGACGCCUGCCCGGUGCCGGAAGGUUAAUUGAUGGGGUUAUCCGUAAGGAGAAGCUCUUGAUCGAAGCCCCGGUAAACGGCGGCCGUAACUAUAACGGUCCUAAGGUAGCGAAAUUCCUUGUCGGGUAAGUUCCGACCUGCACGAAUGGCGUAAUGAUGGCCAGGCUGUCUCCACCCGAGACUCAGUGAAAUUGAACUCGCUGUGAAGAUGCAGUGUACCCGCGGCAAGACGGAAAGACCCCGUGAACCUUUACUAUAGCUUGACACUGAACAUUGAGCCUUGAUGUGUAGGAUAGGUGGGAGGCUUUGAAGCGUGGACGCCAGUCUGCGUGGAGCCAACCUUGAAAUACCACCCUUUAAUGUUUGAUGUUCUAACGUUGGCCCGUAAUCCGGGUUGCGGACAGUGUCUGGUGGGUAGUUUGACUGGGGCGGUCUCCUCCCAAAGAGUAACGGAGGAGCACGAAGGUUAGCUAAUCCUGGUCGGACAUCAGGAGGUUAGUGCAAUGGCAUAAGCUAGCUUGACUGCGAGCGUGACGGCGCGAGCAGGUGCGAAAGCAGGUCAUAGUGAUCCGGUGGUUCUGAAUGGAAGGGCCAUCGCUCAACGGAUAAAAGGUACUCCGGGGAUAACAGGCUGAUACCGCCCAAGAGUUCAUAUCGACGGCGGUGUUUGGCACCUCGAUGUCGGCUCAUCACAUCCUGGGGCUGAAGUAGGUCCCAAGGGUAUGGCUGUUCGCCAUUUAAAGUGGUACGCGAGCUGGGUUUAGAACGUCGUGAGACAGUUCGGUCCCUAUCUGCCGUGGGCGCUGGAGAAUUGAGGGGGGCUGCUCCUAGUACGAGAGGACCGGAGUGGACGCAUCACUGGUGUUCGGGUUGUCAUGCCAAUGGCACUGCCCGGUAGCUAAAUGCGGAAGAGAUAAGUGCUGAAAGCAUCUAAGCACGAAACUUGCCCCGAGAUGAGUUCUCCCUGAGACUUUAAGUCUCCUGAAGGAACGUUGAAGACGACGACGUUGAUAGGCCGGGUGUGUAAGCGCAGCGAUGCGUUGAGCUAACCGGUACUAAUGAACCGUGAGGCUUAACCUUACAACGCCGAAGCUGUU
This 2931-nucleotide ribosomal RNA is filed under the name Klebsiella pneumoniae. RNAcentral describes it as "bacterial LSU rRNA". It matches the Rfam family "Bacterial large subunit ribosomal RNA". Lineage: Bacteria; Pseudomonadati; Pseudomonadota; Gammaproteobacteria; Enterobacterales; Enterobacteriaceae. The record is from RNAcentral.